This 1241-nucleotide long non-coding RNA is filed under the name Bemisia tabaci. RNAcentral's name for it is "lncRNA ENSSSA2NGG011964". Lineage: Eukaryota; Metazoa; Arthropoda; Insecta; Hemiptera; Aleyrodidae. The record is from RNAcentral.
CAGUUGAAAUGGGUCACUCUCGUAACUAUUAUUUUUGACGGUGUAACUGCAAAAACGCGAAUCUGGUUUGCAGUGUUCCAAAAUCUCCGCUAUCCCGUUUUAUAAUAGGUAUUUCUUUAAAGGAGACACGUUGAAAUCAUUAGUCAAAUGGACACCCAUCACUAUCGCUUUCCCUCCAGACCGAGUACCGACCAAGGUGCGACUACAUAUGGUGAGUGAGAAUUCGUGUAUGCUCUUUGGCCUAUCCAUUGAUUUGAAGGAGCUCUGCUGACGGUUCAAUUUCCUGAGCUUCCAAAUCAAAUGAUUCGUCGGGCAUACUCCAGCAGUCCAGCUCCUUGCAAUUCUGUUGAAUGCUUUUACAGUCCCUGCUGUAAGCUAUUUUUUUAAGUACUUUAUAAUUAUUUAUCUCUCUCUCUCUCUCGCUCGCCCUUGCACCUAAGAACAUUGAUCGCCAGGGUCGGAUUAAGAAUUGUUGGCCCAUCCCCUUAGGCGCACAAUGUAGUACUGGCCCCCUUAAAAAAGUACUAUAUCUGGAGAAAUUUGGCAACAUUUGAAUGUUCAAACGGCCUCUCUUCCUUAGCAUGCCUGUAAAGUUAUUAAUAAUUCUUCCAAUGUAAGUGAUAGGUGCUCAAGAUACGUAGAAACAUUUAGAAUACAGCCGAUUGGUGGAUGCAACUUAAUUAACUUCUGUGUAGGAUUGGGUGGUAUUGCCAAAUUUGAAGGCGGACUAUAGAAGCUCAGUACUUCGUUACCAAGCGAUGUGGAUGCCGCGCCGGCGCCGCUCCAACCAACACGCUGUACUUAUCGCCUUCAUCCUGAUUCUGCCAUGAGGAGGAUUUGUAGUUAAGGAAUGAAAACUACGCUGCUUUGCUGACGAAAAACGCUGUACGAAGCGGCUGUUGCCAAAAUUCCUUUGAUAAAACACAGAUUUUCUGGGAAAUUUGUUUAUGUUGUUUCCAACUUGAUAGAAAUUUGUUCGCAAUUUGAGCAAAAUAAUCUGAAACUUUCAUAAGUAGAAAAAUAUUCAAAAUAUUUCAAAUAUUCUGUCUCAGCUAUUUCAGGUGAAGGAGGUCAACACAACCCCGCUUGAACUUCUUACCGUUUCCACUCGGUGGUUGUCAGAGUAAAGAGGUUGUGGAACCUACUGUCGCCUGGGCUGGCUCAUGCAAGUCUGGAGACGAACCUGUUUAAGUCUAGGUUCAAGGACUACGUUUUGAAAUACUAUGUUCCCUAUUAGUUAU